ACGGAAGGCAGCAGUGGGGAAUAUUGCACAAUGGGGGAAACCCUGAUGCAGCGACGCCGCGUGAGCGAAGAAGUAUUUCGGUAUGUAAAGCUCUAUCAGCAGGGAAGAAAGUGACGGUACCUGACUAAGAAGCACCGGCUAAAUACGUGCCAGCAGCCGCGGUAAUACGUAUGGUGCAAGCGUUAUCCGGAUUUACUGGGUGUGAAGGGAGCGUAGACGGAUAGGCAAGUCUGGAGUGAAAACCCGGGGCUCAACCCCGGGACUGCUUUGGAAACUGUUUAUCUAGAGUGCUGGAGAGGUAAGUGGAAUUCCUAGUGUAGCGGUGAAAUGCGUGGAUAUUAGGAGGAACACCAGUGGCGAAGGCGGCUUACUGGACAGUAACUGACGUUGAGGCUCGAAAGCGUGGGGAGCAAACAGGAUUAAUACCCUGGUA
RNAcentral lists this ribosomal RNA (433 nucleotides) under uncultured Lachnospiraceae bacterium. RNAcentral describes it as "bacterial SSU rRNA". It matches the Rfam family "Bacterial small subunit ribosomal RNA", at positions 341 to 792 of the family's 1533-position model. The record is from RNAcentral. Lineage: Bacteria; Bacillati; Bacillota; Clostridia; Lachnospirales; Lachnospiraceae.